RNAcentral lists this ribosomal RNA (487 nucleotides) under uncultured bacterium. Its description in RNAcentral is "bacterial SSU rRNA". It matches the Rfam family "Bacterial small subunit ribosomal RNA", at positions 28 to 507 of the family's 1533-position model. The record is from RNAcentral.
GAUGAACGCUAGCGGCAGGCCUAACACAUGCAAGGUCGAGGGGCAUCGCGGUGCAGCAAUGCACUGGCGGCGACCGGCGUACGGGUGCGUAACGCGUAUGCAACCUGCCCCGCACCGGGGGAUAGCCCGCCGAAAGGCGGAUUAAUACCCCAUGGUCCCGGGGGCCCGCAUGGGCAUCCGGGUAAAGCCUUGGCGGUGCGGGAUGGGCAUGCGUGCCAUUAGCUGGCUGGUGGGGUAACGGCCCACCAGGGCAACGAUGGCUAGGGGGUCUGAGAGGAUGGUCCCCCACACUGGUACUGAGACACGGACCAGACUCCUACGGGAGGCAGCAGUGAGGAAUAUUGGUCAAUGGGCGGAAGCCUGAACCAGCCAUGCCGCGUGCGGGAUGAAGGCCCUACGGGUUGUAAACCGCUUUUCCCCGGGAAGAAUAAGCCCCCCGCGGGGGGUGAUGCCGGUACCGGGGGAAUAAGGAUCGGCUAACUCCGUG